GAAUUCGCAAUGAAGAGGAGGAGUACACUUAUUUUCUUUUCAAGAGAGUUCCUGGCUGGUGUAAAGGAAUAAAGAGGAAAGUGGAAGGUAGCCUUGGAGCCAAUUCUAUGAAUGAAGUAGUAGAGUUCGUAUGACUGCGUUAAAGUCUUGAGGCAUAAUUCACAUUAUGUAAAAAAAGGUGGUACCACGAGCAAAUCGUCCUUUAC
This 206-nucleotide non-coding RNA is filed under the name Kandleria vitulina. RNAcentral describes it as "T-box sequence". It matches the Rfam family "T-box leader". From Rfam's summary of the family: Uncharged tRNA acts as the effector for transcription antitermination of genes in the T-box leader family. T-boxes are found upstream of many aminoacyl-tRNA synthetase genes and some amino acid biosynthetic genes usually in Gram-positive bacteria. Lineage: Bacteria; Bacillati; Bacillota; Erysipelotrichia; Erysipelotrichales; Coprobacillaceae. The record is from RNAcentral.